UGGAACUGGCGGAAAUGACUGGUAGAAUCCGUGACCAGGGAGAGGAGUCGGUGGAAGAAGAUUGGAAGAAAUUUAAAGAUUAUCUACAGAAACAUUGCAAAAUCAAAGAAUGUUAGAGUGAUGAUGGAUUGAAAUUAAGUGGUUUCUAGCUGCACAGGCGUUAAAGUUAUAUAUAGACUAAGAUUAAGGAUUAGGCAUAAAAAGGUUAAAAGAACGGAAAAUUGGCUAUUAAUAGAUAAGAAUUUAAUGUUAUACCAUAUUAAGAUUAAGGAUUGGGAUUAAAAAAGAGGGAAAGGAAUUGCUGGACAAACAAACUGAAUUGGAAUACAAAAGAGGGAGGUACGAGGAGGUCCAGAAAAUAAGUAAAUUCAAAAGUGGUGAUGAAAAGGUGGUAUUGUUUUUAACUGUUUUUUCUUUUUUCUUUUUUUUUUUGUAUUUUGUAUUGUGUAUUUUUGUAUUGUGUAUUUUUCUUUUUACUUUUAAUUCUCUUUUACUGAUGUGUUCUGUUUAUAUUGGAAACUUUAAUAAAUAUCAUUU
This is a non-coding RNA of Podarcis lilfordi (Lilford's wall lizard), 537 nucleotides long. The record is from the annotation of a GenBank genome assembly. NCBI's taxonomy places the organism in Eukaryota, Metazoa, Chordata, Lepidosauria, Squamata, Lacertidae.